UACGUAGGUGGCAAGCGUUACUCGGAAUCACUAGGUGUAAAGCGCAUGUAGGAGGUUGGAUAAGUCUGUUGUGAAAGCUCCCGGCUUAACUGGGAGAGGCCAACGGAAACUAUUCGGCUGGAGUGCGGUAGAGGUAGCUGGAAUUCCCGGUGUAGCGGUGAAAUGCGUAGAUAUCGGGAGGAAUACCUAUGGCGAAAGCAGGCUACUGGACCGUCACUGACUCUGAUCUGCGAAAGCUAGGGGAGCAAACAGG
This 253-nucleotide ribosomal RNA is filed under the name uncultured bacterium. RNAcentral describes it as "partial 16S ribosomal RNA". It matches the Rfam family "Bacterial small subunit ribosomal RNA", at positions 524 to 776 of the family's 1533-position model. The record is from RNAcentral.